GUCAUUAGGAGGAAGCUGUGGCUGCAACUCUGGGAGCUCCAAAGCCAGCAGAGGCCACCCCACUCCACCCCAACAGGACCUGCAGGCUUAGUGGAGGAAUUCAGCCACGGGCCAGCAGCGAGGGAGCAGAGAGAAGACCUACCAUGAAUGGACUCUCCCCUGUCGUCGUCCCUGCCUGUCGUCCCCUGCCAGUGCCUCCCAGGGGCUGAGCCCAGUUGGAAGCCAGAGGGCAAGGGGAGCACUGGACAUGUCAUCCUUAGAGGUGAAGGCGCAGACAAAACAGAGGCAUGUACCACACAUCUAGAGCGCCCACCGAGACAGCGCACCCUGCAGGCCAGGGGCCACCGCACUGGAGCUUCCAGCAGCUCAGCCCUCAGCUCCCAUCCAGGAAACAGCACUGAGGCCAUCUCUUAGCUGGUGGGCCACAGCUCUGUUAUCAGGAAGCGUGACUUUGGAGGUGAAGGGACUAGUCCGUGGAAGGGACCCCCAUGCCUCCCUUCUUCACCACAAGCCAGCAAGAUCAGGAAGCAGAGCAAUGAAAAUCGCUCUCCUACUAACAAAUGGAGGAUGCGUUCCCCAAGUCUUCGGAGAGAAGAACGCAGCAAGAGCUGCUCCUCUACAGCAGCCAUGGGAAAGAUGUACAAAACUGCAGCCUGGUCCCUGACGAUGAAAUGCCAAUAAAUUUAGUUUUAAAGGGGUCACUAAAAAUCCCCAGUGGUGUUUUUCUCAUCCCUUAAUAACAGCAUUGGACUUCCCUGGUGGCGCGGUGGUUAAGAAUCCGCCUGCCAAUGCAGGGGACACGGGUUCGAGACCUGGUCCGGGAAGAUCCCACAUGCCGCGGAGCAACUAAGCCCGUGUGCCACAACUACUGAAACCCGUGCGCCUAGAGUGCAUGCUCCACAACAAGAGAAGCCACCGCAAUGAAAAGCCCACACACCGCAAUGAAGAGUAGCCCCCGCUCGCCGCAACUAGAGAAAGCCCGUGCACAGCAAUGAAGACCCAA
Balaenoptera ricei (Rice's whale) is the source of this 1003-nucleotide long non-coding RNA. RefSeq lists it as uncharacterized. NCBI's taxonomy places the organism in Eukaryota, Metazoa, Chordata, Mammalia, Artiodactyla, Balaenopteridae. The record is from RefSeq and is a predicted model, not a curated record. The transcript has 3 exons.